Molecule: long non-coding RNA, 561 nt
Organism: Carassius auratus (goldfish)
Lineage: Eukaryota; Metazoa; Chordata; Actinopteri; Cypriniformes; Cyprinidae
Exons: 3
Source: RefSeq, a predicted model, not a curated record
CUCUCUCCUGAGACUGUUUUUACAGACAUGAGGAUCAUCACACGUGUCUCUGUCAAUCACUGAAUCAACUGAGUUUGAUUGUGAGUCACGUCACACUUGAUAUAAAAGUGAAUUUCUUUCAAUAAUUGAGGUUGAUGUUUUAGUAAUAAGACAGAUGAAGUAAAUGCAGGUGAUGUGUGCUGUGAGUGUGUGUUUGUUGGAGACUCAGUUGAUGUGUGUUUGUUCAGUUAGUGAAGCGUUCAGGAGGUUUUUGUUCAGCUGCUCUAUUAGUUUGUAUCACUGUGGUGGACUUUCGGCAGCGGCACCAAACUGGAUGUUGGCAGCGUCACUCGUCCUAAAGUGAGCGUCCUGCCGCCCUCCAGUGCAGAGAUCUCCUCAAAGAAGACAGCGACACUGGUGUGUGUGGCCAGCAAGGGCUUCCGUCAGACUGGAGCCUGAGCUGGAAGGUGGACGGGAGCAGCAGGUCUCAGGAGAGCAGCGCUGGGCUCCUGGAGAAGGACGGUCUGUACAGCUGGAGCAGCAGCCUGACUCUCUCUGAGCAGGAGUGGAUGGAGAGCGUCC